Long non-coding RNA from Astatotilapia calliptera (eastern happy), 1471 nucleotides. The record is from Ensembl. NCBI's taxonomy places the organism in Eukaryota, Metazoa, Chordata, Actinopteri, Cichliformes, Cichlidae.
CCGAGGUCAAUCUGAGAGUCAUAUUGGUUUUCAGGAGGUCAGGGCUCUUUCAGCAGAAUCCUAUCUUGUCAAUAUAUCACAAUGUAGUUUCCAGUCAGCAUCUUCUGUGUGUGUGUGUGUGUGUGUGUGUGUGUGUGUGUGUGUGUGUGUGUGUGUGUGUGUGUGUGUGUGUGUGUAAAUGCGUGCAUUCCCGGCAGACCUGCCACUGGCCUGCUUUGACAACAGAUGUGUGUAGAGUCCAGAAAGUCAGCCCAUUGAUCCACAGCACAGCAGACAUCAAAAGAUCCAUAGGAGAAAGAGCAGAAAGGAGCAGGGAGGAGGGUGGGAGUGUGUGUGUGUGUGUGUGUGUGUGUGUGUGUGUGUGUGUGUGUGUGACUGAGAUUAGAGCUUAUACAGAAAACAAAAUGAUUAACUUAAUAUCUGUAAUACCUGCCAUAAAAAAAAAAGAAAAGAAUGAAUCAUAACUGUCCUCCAUCUUCAGAGAUUACCGAAAAACUUUACAUCUGGUUUACUAAAACAUUACUUGUUUGCGACCCACUACGCCUGUGUUUUAUGAAAAACUACUGGGGGGAAAAAGAGUGAUAUUCAUUACUGUGAUUGGGUUGGCUGAGGGAAUUAGAGAUGUUGUAAUGCCCUGGCAACACACUCAUGGAUCCUAAGUUGAGUGACUUGCCAAAUCUCUGGGUAGCAACACGGCAGAGAGAGAGGAGGAGAGGGGGAGAGAGGAAGAGAGCGAGCGACUGAGAGAGACUGUGGGCAAAAUGCAGCACAUUUGUUAAAAAAAAAAAAGAAAAAGGUCUCCACGUACCGAAACAAGAUUUCAAUUACCACGCUGCUCUCUCCAUCACCCAAUAGACUCUUAGGCAAACACACGCAUUUGAAAAACCAGUGCCAUUUAUUCUAUUCAUUCUCUGUUUCUGACACAACACAGAAAUUAAAAUGUUCUUAGCAGGAGAUAAAUGGCACAUUGAAAGACCAUAUGAAUAGAAGGAAGCAAGUAGAGGCAGCCUUGACUCAGUAAGUUUGCAGGGAGCUGCACCAUGAACUUUCCUAAUAAAGCUGUUUUGCCUGUCAAAGAGCUUCUGUUAAGAAUAUUUGUAAGGUAAUGUAUUACUGUUUUCAUCAGGCCAGAAACGGUGAAAACGUGUAGUAUUUCUUAACAAAAAAACCCAAAAGCACUGGAAUGUAUCUUUUUUUUACAAGUCAGAGAGUGUCGAAAGACAAAAAAGAAGCAGACCUUAAUUACUGCGAUAAGGAAAAAGAAACACUGAGGUUACACAGCGUAACCCUAGUGUUACAGGCCUUCGAUGGGGUCUGUUUUUAAACUGUUUUUUUAACCCUUUAAGACCUACCAUAGAACCAAGUUCGCCAGAGCUUAUAUUAUAUUUUUACAUGCUGUGGAGCCAUUUUUGGGAGCAUUUCAAGUUGCUAUACAUCAAUACAACCAUUAUAGCCCAAACUUUAAUAAUAU